UACGUAGGGUGCAAGCGUUGUCCGGAAUUAUUGGGCGUAAAGAGCUUGUAGGCGGUUUGUCGCGUCUGCUGUGAAAUUUCGGGGCUCAACCCCGAACUUGCAGUGGGUACGGGCAGACUAGAGUGUGGUAGGGGAGACUGGAAUUCCUGGUGUAGCGGUGGAAUGCGCAGAUAUCAGGAGGAACACCUAUAGCGAAGGCAGCUUGCUGGGACGUAACUGACGCUAAGGCGCGAAAGCGUGGGGAGCGAACAGG
This 253-nucleotide ribosomal RNA is filed under the name uncultured bacterium. RNAcentral describes it as "partial 16S ribosomal RNA". It matches the Rfam family "Bacterial small subunit ribosomal RNA", at positions 524 to 776 of the family's 1533-position model. The record is from RNAcentral.